AGUGAACGCUGGCGGUAGGCCUAACACAUGCAAGUCGAACGGCAGCACAGGAGAGCUUGCUCUCUAGGUGGCGAGUGGCGGACGGGUGAGGAAUACAUCGGAAUCUGCCCAGUCGUGGGGGAUAACGUAGGGAAACUUAUGCUAAUACCGCAUACGACCUUCGGGUGAAAGAGGGGGAUCGCAAGACCUCUCGCGAUUGGAUGAGCCGAUGUCGGAUUAGCUAGUUAGCGGGGUAAUGGCCCACCAAGGCGACGAUCCGUAGCUGGUCUGAGAGGAUGAUCAGCCACACUGGAACUGAGACACGGUCCAGACUCCUACGGGAGGCAGCAGUGGGGAAUAUUGGACAAAGGGCGCAAGCCUGAUCCAGCCAUACCGCGUGGGUGAAGAAGGCCUUCGGGUUGUAAAGCCCUUUUGUUGGGAAAGAAAUCUUUCAGGCUAAUACCCUGGGAGGAUGACGGUACCCAAAGAAUAAGCACCGGCUAACUUCGUG
Molecule: ribosomal RNA, 490 nt
Filed under: uncultured bacterium
Lineage: Bacteria
Description: partial 16S ribosomal RNA
Rfam family: Bacterial small subunit ribosomal RNA
Source: RNAcentral